CCAAGGUUAGUGGCAAACGGGUGAGUAAUACAUAUCUAACAUGCCCCUCUGUGGGGGAUAGCCACUUGAAAAAGUGAUUAAUACCCCAUAGGAAGCUUUAUCCAUGAUUUAGCUUUUAAAGCCUUCGGGCGCUGAGGGAUUGGGAUAUGCUCUAUUAGCUAGUUGGCGGGAUAAAAGCCCACCAAGGCAAUGAUAGAUAGCUGGUCUUAGAGGAUGAACAGCCACAAUGGGAUUGAGAUACGGCCCAUAUUCCUACGGGAAGCAGCAGUAGGGAAUCUUCCACAAUGGACGAAAGUCUGAUGGAGCAAUACCAUGUGAACGAUGAAGGCCUUUUUGGUUGUAAAGUUCUUUUACGAGGGAUAAUUAUGAUAGUACUUCGUGAAUAAGUGACAGCAAACUAUGUGCCAGCAGCUGCGGUAAUACAUAGGUCGCAAGCAUUAUUCGGAUUUAUUGGGCGUAAAGCAAGCGCAGGCGGAUGUGUAAGUUCUGUGUUAAAUGCAGCUACUCAAUAGUUGUAUGCACCGAAUACUACAUGUCUAGAUUGUGGUAGGGAGUUUCGGAAUUAAGCAUGGAGCGGUGGAAUGUGUAGAUAUGCUUAAGAACACCAGAGGCGAAGGCGGAAACUUAGGCCAUAAAUGACGCUUAGGCUUGAAAGUGUGGGGAGCAAAUGGGAUUAGAUACCCCAGUAGUCCACACCGUAAACGAUGGGUAUUAGAUAUUAGGGCUUUAGCUUUAGUGUUGUAGCUUACGCGUUAAAUACCCCGCCUGGGUAGUACAUAUGCAAAUAUGAAACUCAAAGGAAUUGACGGGGACCUGAACAAGUGGUGGAGCAUGUUGCUUAAUUCGAUAAUACACGAAAAACCUUACCAAGGUUUGACAUCCCUCGCAAAGCUAUAGAAAUAUAGUAGAGGUUAUCGAGGUGACAGGUGGUGCAUGGCUGUCGUCAGCUCGUGUCUUGAGAUGUUUGGUUAAGUCCCGCAACGAGCGCAACCCCACUCUUUAGUUACUUGUCUAAAGAGACUGCACAGUAAUGUAGAGGAAGGAUGGGAUCACGUCAAGUCAUCAUGCCCCUUAUGCCUUGGGCUGCAAACGUGCUACAAUGGCGAACACAAUGUGUUGCAAACCAGCGAUGGUAAGCUAAUCACCAAAUUUCGUCUCAGUUCGGAUAGGAGG
This 1173-nucleotide ribosomal RNA is filed under the name Mycoplasma haemocanis. Its description in RNAcentral is "bacterial SSU rRNA". It matches the Rfam family "Bacterial small subunit ribosomal RNA", at positions 86 to 1304 of the family's 1533-position model. Lineage: Bacteria; Bacillati; Mycoplasmatota; Mollicutes; Mycoplasmatales; Mycoplasmataceae. The record is from RNAcentral.